Molecule: transfer RNA, 73 nt
Filed under: Promethearchaeota archaeon
Lineage: Archaea; Promethearchaeati; Promethearchaeota
Description: Candidatus Lokiarchaeota archaeon (marine sediment metagenome) tRNA-Trp
Source: RNAcentral
GCGAAAAUGGACAACCAGGUAUGACAACGGGCUCCAGACUCGUUUAUCGGGAGUUCAAAUCUCUCCGUCCCCA